CCCGACUCCGCCCCGGCCCCGUCCUCUCCCCCCGCCGGCGGCUGCGGCUCCUCCCCGCCGUGAUGCGCUCGGGAGGCGCCUCCGCAGCCGCUCCGCGGAGCCGCGCCGGGGCCGAGCCGGGCCGGGCCGGGCAGCGCAGGCACGGUUGAAGCCCCCCGGAGCGGCGCUGUCGGGAGGUGAUGGGUGGCCCAGGAGGGGUGCGGAGACCUGGAGGCAGCGGCUUCGGUUGUGUUCGCCGAUAUCCAUC
Long non-coding RNA from Oxyura jamaicensis (ruddy duck), 247 nucleotides. RefSeq lists it as uncharacterized. NCBI's taxonomy places the organism in Eukaryota, Metazoa, Chordata, Aves, Anseriformes, Anatidae. The transcript is spliced from 2 exons. The record is from RefSeq and is a predicted model, not a curated record.